UCACCGGAGCUUGCUCCACCGAAAGAAAAAGAGUGGCGAACGGGUGAGUAACACGUGGGUAACCUGCCCAUCAGAAGGGGAUAACACUUGGAAACAGGUGCUAAUACCGUAUAACACUAUUUUCCGCAUGGAAGAAAGUUGAAAGGCGCUUUUGCGUCACUGAUGGAUGGACCCGCGGUGCAUUAGCUAGUUGGUGAGGUAACGGCUCACCAAGGCAACGAUGCAUAGCCGACCUGAGAGGGUGAUCGGCCACACUGGGACUGAGACACGGCCCAGACUCCUACGGGAGGCAGCAGUAGGGAAUCUUCGGCAAUGGACGAAAGUCUGACCGAGCAACGCCGCGUGAGUGAAGAAGGUUUUCGGAUCGUAAAACUCUGUUGUUAGAGAAGAACAAGGAUGAGAGUAAAAUGUUCAUCCCUUGACGGUAUCUAACCAGAAAGCCACGGCUAACUACGUGCCAGCAGCCGCGGUAAUACGUAGGUGGC
RNAcentral lists this ribosomal RNA (485 nucleotides) under Enterococcus casseliflavus. RNAcentral's name for it is "bacterial SSU rRNA". It matches the Rfam family "Bacterial small subunit ribosomal RNA", at positions 70 to 535 of the family's 1533-position model. The record is from RNAcentral. Lineage: Bacteria; Bacillati; Bacillota; Bacilli; Lactobacillales; Enterococcaceae.